UAGGGAAUCUUCCACAAUGGGCGCAAGCCUGAUGGAGCAACACCGCGUGAGUGAAGAAGGGUUUCGGCUCGUAAAGCUCUGUUGUAAGAGAAGAACGUGUGUGAGAGUGGAAAGUUCACACAGUGACGGUAACUUACCAGAAAGGGACGGCUAACUACGUACCAG
Molecule: ribosomal RNA, 165 nt
Filed under: uncultured bacterium
Lineage: Bacteria
Description: partial 16S rRNA
Rfam family: Bacterial small subunit ribosomal RNA
Source: RNAcentral